AACUUUUGGCAACGGAUCACUUGGCUCUCGCAUCGAUGAAGAACGCAGCGAAAUGCGAUAAGUAAUGUGAAUUGCAGAAUUCAGUGAAUCAUCCAAUCUUUGAACGCACCUUGCGCUCCUUGGUAUUCCGAGGAGCAUGCCUGUUUGAGUGUCAUUAAUAAAUAUAUCAACCUUCUCUUUUUGGAGUGUGUUGGAUGUGGGGGUUUGCUGGCCUUGUAAAGGGUUCAGCUCCCCUCAAAUGAAUCAGCCUCCCAGUGUUUGGUGGCAUCACGGGUGUGAUAAAUAUCUAUGCUCGCGGUUGUCUGCCAGGUAACCUUUGGUGACAAAGGUUUGCUGGAGCUCACAGAUGUCUCUCCUCAGCGAGGACAGCUUUUUGAACGUUCGAUCUCAAAUAAGGUAGGACUACCCGCUGAACUUAAGCAUAUCAAUAAGCGGAGG
This 438-nucleotide unclassified non-coding RNA is filed under the name uncultured Tomentella. Its description in RNAcentral is "sequence contains ITS2". The stretch from base 1 to 154 matches the Rfam family "5.8S ribosomal RNA". Lineage: Eukaryota; Fungi; Basidiomycota; Agaricomycetes; Thelephorales; Thelephoraceae. The record is from RNAcentral.